Molecule: long non-coding RNA, 17779 nt
Filed under: Fragaria vesca (wild strawberry)
Lineage: Eukaryota; Viridiplantae; Streptophyta; Magnoliopsida; Rosales; Rosaceae
Description: long non-coding RNA (FVES_LNC000580)
Source: RNAcentral
CUAGCUAGAGUUUAAGAUUUUGCCGAAGCAAGAAGUAUUGCUCUUCCACCUUUGAAAUAGGUCAACAUUGCACUGCGAUCAGGAAGGUGCUCUUUGAUUGUGGGGAUGUCCUUGAACCGUUGAAUCCAGGCAUGCAAGCGAGGGAAGGUUUCGGCUUCAAUCCCCUUCACCCCAGCUAGUUCACUCAUGACAUCCAUCCACCAAGCUAGCCACCCGAAUUCCAAAUCAGCCAUUCCAAGCUCAUCUCCUCCGAAAAACUUCUUGUCUCCGAGUCCCUGCUCUUCCAAGAUUGUCAGCUGCUCUUGCCUUUCUUUUGUUGCUUUCACUUGCUGUUCUCCCUCAGUCAUGAAAAAUCCAAACAGGGCUCCGAACUAUGUGACAUGCACAAAACAUCUACAUUACUUCGACUUGAAUAUAAUGCGCGCGAUCUUUUAUUUAUGUUAUGUCGUUAGACCGUCAGUUGUCAACUCGUUAUAUAAACAAACAUGCAUACUUGCAUGCGACUACAAACUACUCAUUUCAUCAUGUAACGUAAUUGAAAUAGUAGUGAUCAUCAAUUACCUUGUCCUCUCCGAACUUUAUCCAGAACCGGGCCAAAGCUCGUUGAUGAGGGUCUUUAGGAAGCAAGGGGUUCUGCGGCCAUGUCUCUUCGAUGUACUCAAGUAUUACAGCAGACUCUGCGAUUGGUUUUCCGGCAUGAACAAGAACGGGAACCUUCUUAUGGACUGGGUUGUACUUCAGAAGACGAUCACUCUUGUUGUGUAACACAUCCUCUUCAACAUACUCGUAGUCUACACCCUUGAGUUUAAGUGCCCAGAUAACCCUGUAAACAUAUGGACUCGACCAAGCUCCUAACACUGUAACUUGUGACAUUUUUGCUGGUUCUGUUAUGAUCCUAGACUGGUUUCUACAUGACUAUAUAUGCCUCGCAUUCAAUUUGGUUACCUUGUGCUUCAAUUAAUCUACAUGGUCGGGAAGGAUUAGAGGCCAAUUUGUCCUUCUUUUGCUAUUGUUUACUCUACUUUUAAAUAUGUAGUUGGUAUAAAAGAGAUAAGAUAUCAUUUUCGCCAAGUUUCUCUUUUAUUUGAGGACCAUAUUUCUCUGGAAAAUACAAAAGACUUGUCAAGCAAGUCAUACUAGACCCUUAAUCUUCCUAAAGUUGACCAGAGUUUGGACUACAUACUUAUAAAAUACAACGAACCCAAUCCUUACGUUGAGGGCAGCUGUUGGUUGUUGUGAAAAGGGAAAGAGACACAUUGUUUACAUAAAUGUAAGAAGUGAUGAAGCUGCUAGGAUUAGGAAUAUGGCUUCUAGUCUCUUACGUUACAAGAGUCAGUGGAUCUAGAAACUUGUUAACAAAGAUCAAAGUCUCUUCCUUUAAACUAUAAUAUAAGGAUUAAAAUCUCUGUGAUAUAUUUGAUAUAUCCUCCGAUAUCUCUAUUUUUUUAAGGACCGAUAUAUCUAGAGUGGUAAAUAUAUUAUCUUCCACUGUAUCUUCCAUAUAUCUAGAGGUGUUGUUCUUAGCGAUUUUAUCAAAGACCACUUUGGGUUUCUUGUUGAUUUUUUAAAUCCUAACCCUUAAACCCUAUACCCUAAACCUAUACCCUAACUAUAUAUAUAUCCUAUACCCUAACUAUAUAUCCUAUAUCCUGUACCCUAAACCCUGUACCCUAAACCCUAGGCCAAACUCAUUAAAAACCCAAGACGGUAAUUUCACAAAACAUAGAAAAACUUAGUUUAUAUUUUAGUUGUAAUAAAUUUACGUGUCAAAAUUUAAUUGACAAGAGAGGACCACGUCAGACUGCCACUUGGUCCUUUGGGAGCAUUUAAAAAUUUCUCCUAAUUGAGUUGAUUGGUUGAGGUGAUUGAUCAAAAGUAUAAAUGAUAUACAAAUCAAGGAUAUAUGUGAUUCUAUAUUAAUUGGUUUCCUUUAUGGGAGGAUUCCAUACUAAUUAGUUGAAUCCUAUAUAAACCUGGUCCCUAUACAGUCUAUCCACCAGUUGCUAAAAGUCUAGUCCUAGAUAUAGAAUAGAGUGUUGUGUACAAGAUCGGAGUUUGGAAUAUCAAUGGCUUCUAAUUCAGGUUUGUUAAUUGAAUUCCCUUAAGAACUCUAGUUAGUGUAUUUGCUUAGUUGUGUUUGUUUUGUUUGAUUCUAUAGUAUUUAUUUAUCUUGUGUGUUGAGUUUCUUGUGAUCAAUGGAUCGAGGCUAACACAUCUGACCAAUCAAGUUUAAUUGUUUAAACAAUAUUUGAAGACGAUCCAAGUCAUCCGACUCUCUCUCUCUCUNNNNNNNNNNNNNNNNNNNNUCUCUCUCUCUCUCUCUCUCNCUCUCUUCUCUCUCUCUCUCUCUCUCUCUCUCUCUCUCUCUCUCUCUCUCUCUCUCUCAUAGAAUGGCCAAUGUUCUAUUGUUCUUGAAAAUGUGAUGUAAAUUGAUUCAGUUUCAUACAUACAAACAUAUAUUUAUGCCAUAAGUCCAUCGAUCAAAAAAAGUGUUUUAUUCAAGCAAGUUCUUAGAGUUAUAGUUGGAUAGGAAGAUUACAGAUACAAGCGUACAUCAGCUUAAUUAAUAGCUAAUAUUAUUGUUCGAAAAGUAGAAAGCUCGAUCAACAGAAGGAGGUUGUAGCUAGCUAUAGUUUAAGGUUUUGCAGAAGCAAGAAAUAUUGCUCUUCGACCUUUGAAAUAGGUCAACAUUGCACUGCGAUCAGGAAGGGGCUCUUUGAUUGUGGGGAUGUCCUUGAACCGUUGAAUCCAGGCAUGCAAGCGAGGGAAGGUUUCGGCUUCAAUCCCCUUAACCCCAGCUAGUUCACUAAUGACAUCCAUCCACCAAGCUAGCCACCCGAAUUCCAAAUCAGCCAUUCCAAUCUCGUCACCACCGAAAAACUUCUUGUCUCCGAGGCCCUGCUCUUCCAAGAUUCUCAGCUGCUCUUGCCUUUCUUUUGUUGCUUUCACUUGCUGUUCUCCCUCAGUCAUGAAAAAUCCAAACAGGGCUCCUAACUAUGUGACAUGCACAAAAUAUCUACAUUACUUCGAUUUGAAUAAAAUGCGCGCGAUCUUUUAUUUAUGUUUUGUCGCUAGACCGUCAGUUGUCAACUCGUUAUAUAAACAAACAUGCAUACUUGCAUGCGACUACAGACUACUCAUUUCAUCAUGUAACGUAAUUGAAAUAGUACGUUGAGUGAUCAUCAAUUACCUUGUCCUCUCCGAACUUUGUCCAGAACCGCGCCAAAGCUCGUUGAUGGGGGUCCUUAGGAAGCAAGGGGUUCUGCGGCCAUGUUUCUUCGAUGUACUCAAGUAUGACAGCAGACUCUGCGAUUGGUUUUCCGGCAUGAACAAGAACGGGAACCUUCUUAUGGACUGGGUUGUACUUCAGAAGACGGUCACUCUUGUUGUGUAACACAUCCUCCUCUACAUACUCAUAGUCUACACCCUUGAGUUUAAGCGCCCAGAUAACCCUGUAAACAAAUGGACUAGGCCAGAAUCCUAACACUGUAACUUGUGACAUUUUUGCUGGUUCCGUUAUGAUCCUAGACUGGUUUCUACAUGUAUAUAUAUGCCUCGCAUUCAACUUGGUUAUCUUGUGCUUCAAUUAAUCUACAUGGUCGGGAAGGAUUAGAGGCCAAUUUGUCCUUCUUUCGCUAUUGGUUACUCUACUUUAAAUAUGUGGUUGGUAUAAAAGAGAUAAGAUAUCGUUUUAAAUACAAAAGACUUGUCAAGCAAGUCAUACUAGACCAUUCAUCUUCCUAAAGUUGACAAGAGUUUAGACUACAUAUAAAAUACAACGAAGCCAAUCCUUACGUUGAGGGCAGCUGUUGGUUGUGAAAAGGGAAAGAGACACAUUGCUUACAGAAAUGUAAGAAGUGAUGAAGCUGCUAGGAUUACAAGAGUCACUGGAUCUAGAAACUAGGGGUCAAGUAUAUGUGAAUCGAAAGAGAAACUUGUUUAGAAGAUCAAAGUCUUCCUGUAAAGUAUAACAUGCUUCGCAAGAAGAUUUUGGUGCUCGUUCGAGGAGCUUAAUUGCUCACUAAAUCCAGAGCUAUACUAAUGAUCAUAUAAUAUCCUCCACCAAAUGAGGGAUGUAAAAACUAUUCUUGUGUUUAAAAAUACUAGCAUCUUACUCCUGCAUUUACACAAGGGAACUCACAAAAUCACUAUAAAUGGUUAAUUUUGGUUUGUAGGCUUGGUUUUUGACGUUGGAAUUACAUACUGCUACCUUAAAUAGUUGCAUAAUACACAAAACCUAUAUUUUAAAAUAUUUAAACAAAUAAUGCCAGAAGCCCAAGCUCGUAAAGAAUAGUAUCAGGCUUGAUCUGUAACGUUGAUGUGAAAAUGACUGAAAACCCGUGUUUUAUGAAAUAACUACAACAUUGACAUUGACAGAAACCAAAACCGUUCUCUCUCUCUCUCUGAUCCCUAAAAUCGUCGAUAUCUUUCUCACCAUUCCAAAACCAAGUGCUAUUGUUUGGUCACAAUAUUUCCAAAACCAUGUUGUAUCAUCACAAUAUUACUCCUUACAAGACCAAACAAGAGGAGCUGAACCAAGUUGAAGCAAGGAAUCGAGUCAAUCGGGUCACGGAUUGAGUGGCAGCGAAUCGGGUUGGCUGGGUUUGGGAUUAGAGAUUGAGUAGUAGUGGUAGUGAUUCGAUUUGGGAAUUUGUAAUUUAGAUCUCAACAGACCUUAUAAUCAGAAACAGAGAAGUAUGUAAAUGGCGAGGAGCUUGACGACUUAGAAAGGGGUGGUGGUAGAGUAGUCGGUCUCGUUGAUGAUGAGUUUGUAGCUUUUGAGGGUUAUGUUCAGAUCUUACUGCUACUGAUGCCAUGACGAUCAUGUCAUGCUGCUACUGUUGUAGAUUUCAGGUUUUGCUGCUACUGCUGCCAUGACUAUUAGGUUAUGUUGCUACUGUUGUAGAUUUUACUACUACUGCUACUUAUGGUCAGGUCUUGCUGCUACUGUUGUCGGUGUUUAAUUUGGGUUUCUUAUUGAAUUUGAAGUUGCAGAUGAAUAUGAUGUGGGUUGCUUAAAAAUCUGAAACUAGUGGACGAGAGAUUUGACUUGGGUGAUUUGUCAAGGUUUGUGUUAGUAACGUGAAAGUUGAUAAGUCUUAGAGCAAGUCCACCGGUGACAAAAAAAAUCCGACCCAGGUUGGAUCACAUAGACAAAGUGACACAGCCUAAAAAUAGUUGCUUCCACCCAUGAAAAUUUUGGGGCGAGUAUUGUAACCCAGGUGAGUUUGGGUUAAAUUUUAUGCGAGUAUAGUAACCCAAAAUCUAACCCAGGCUAAUUAAUUCCUCAACCGCCACAUCAGCAAAAGAGCCCAACGUGGCUGACGUUAGACAGGGCCAUUCUCUUUCUCUCUCUACUUCUUUACUCGCCAGUGGCUCGUGUGAAGAGCAGUGGCUCAUAUAUAUAUAUGCCGCAUGACCACGUGAGGAGCACUGCUCAUGGAGAAGACAUACAAUGUAGCUGGGACCCAUUAGAUAUUAUUAAAUGUAAAAAUGUAAAAAUAUCAAGUAAAACCAUUAAUUACAAAAAAAAAAAAAUACGUAAAAACUAGGGUUACAUCAAUUAGAAAAAAAAAAAUUCUAUAAGAUGUAAACUACAGGAAAACUAUAUAAACUGUUAUGAAAAAUUCCCUAGCGUUUAUAAAUAAUUUCUUAUAUCCCUAGCUAACCAAUUUAGAUUGUGUAUUUUUUUUAUUAUGUUUGUGUUUUCAUCCUUACAAAAUUUCAAAUAAUUGUAAACUUUUUUAGGCUUGGCUUGUCAAUUAAAUGUCAAGAAAUAAAAAAAAUUCAAUAAGUCAUAUUUUUUUAUGUAAUUACUAUUUAUUUACAACUAAAAUAAUUAUUCACACUUAAAAACGUUUUUUUAAAAUUCAAUAAACAGUCACUGUCACGUGUCAGCAAUCCCACAUUUUAAACGGGUGGAAACUGCUGCCCAAUCAUAGUGACUCAGAGUGACCCAGGUCACUGUGUUCAAUAUAACUCAACGGGUGAACUUGCUUUUAGUAGCUUAUAGUUGUUGAAAAAUAUAUACAACUAACAGAGCAAUAGCUUAGCUAAAUAAGAGUAGUAGUAAGUUUUUACUUGUAUCAUGAGAUGUGAGCAUAAAAACUAGCAUAGAAGAAGCACAACUAAUAUUCAUCUCAUCUACCUUUUCAUAGUAGCAUAGUAACAUUCAGUAAUAGUAGUAGCAACACAAUAACAUUCGGUAACAACAGUAUCAGAAACAUUUCAAUCGACAAUAACAACAACAAUAUUCCAGUAGACAAUAACAAGAACAUUGCAAUAAACAGUAGCAUCAACAUUCUAACAAGUGUAGUAGCAUCUAAAGCAAGACAUGAUGUGGUCUGAUUUAAUUUGAUUUUUAUUAGAAAAGACAAAAAGGACAAGAUUUAAUCUUUAAACAUAAAUUUGAUAGUUGAAACAUGAGUCACAUAUUUUAUCAAGUGUUUCAGAGAUCAACAGAAGAGAUUUCUUUACUCAUAUGACCAAUUAAUUUAAACUAUAUUUUAGACAAUUCGACUUGUUUUAAGUUAUUUAUCUCUCUCUCUCUCUCUCAUCUUGAAGGAAUGGCCAAUUAAUGUUCUUGAAAAUUUGAUGUAUAUUGAAUAAUUGAUUCUGUUUCAAACAUAUAUCUAUGCCAUAAGUCCAUAAAAAUAAGUGUUUUAUUUAAUCAAGUUCUUCGAGUUAUAGUUGGAUAAGAAAAUUAAAGAUACAAGCGUACAUCAGCUAAUAGAUAAUAUAAUUGUUCGAAAAGUAGAAAGCAAGCAGGAGAUUUUAGCUAUAGCUAGAGUUUAAGAUUUUGCCAAAGCAAGAAAUGUUGCUCUUCGACCUUUGAAAUAGGUCAACAUUGCACUGCGAUCAGGAAGGGGCUCUUUGAUUGCAGAGAUGUCCUUGAACCUUUGAAUCCAGGCAUGCAAGCGAGGGAAGCUUUCGGCAUCAAUCACUUUAACUCCAGCUAUUUCACUCAUGACAUCCAGCCACCAAGCUAGCCACCCGAAUUCUAAAUCAGCCAUUCCAAUCUCAUCUCCUCCAAAAAACUUUUUUUCGCCGAGUCCCUGCUCUUCCAGGAUUCGCAGCUGCUCCUGUCCUUCUUUCGUUGCUUUCUCUUGUUGUUCUCCCUCAGUCAUGAAAAAUCCAAACAGGGCUGCGCUCUAUGUCACAUAAUACAUCUACAUUAGUUAAAGUCGUGUAAAAUUUGAUCUUUCAUGUUAUAUUGUUAGACGGUCAAGUAUUCAAGUGUCAAACUGUAGCUAAUUAGAGAAACAUAUACACGCGAUAAAUAGUUCAUGUUUGAUUAGUCGUGGUCUAUUGGUUUAUUAUUGGUUUAUUAGUCUAACAAACCGUAACAUAUGGUUGGUGAAGGUAAGGAAUUUUAAUAAAAUUUGAAAAAAUUAAAAAAUGCGACAAAUGAUUCAUUUGGCUAUAUAACGUAGUGAAAAUAGUCGAGUGACCAUUAAUUACCUUGUCCUCUCCGAACUUUAUCCAGAACCGGGCCAAAGCUCGUUGAUGAGGGUCUUUAGGAAGCAAGGGGUUCUGCGGCCAUGUCUCUUCGAUGUACUCAAGUAUUACAGCAGACUCUGCGAUUGGUUUUCCGGCAUGAACAAGAACCGGAACCUUCUUAUGGACUGGGUUGUACUUCAGAAGACGAUCACUCUUGUUGUGUAACACAUCCUCUUCAACAUACUCGUAGUCUACACCCUUGAGUUUAAGUGCCCAGAUAACCCUGUAAACAUAUGGACUAGGCCAAGCUCCUAACACUGUAACUUGUGACAUUUUUGCUGGUUCUGUUAUGAUCCUAGACUGGUUUCUACAUGUCUAUAUAUAUGCCUCGAUCCAACUGGGUUAUCUUGGGCAUCAAUCUACAUGAUUUCGAAGGACUAGAGGCCAAUUUGUCCUUUGUUUGCUAUAGUUGACUACUUUUUCAUAUGAAGUUGGCAUAAGAGAUGAGAAAAACAAGACUUGCCAAGCAAGUCAUACUAGACCAUUAAUCUUCCUAAAGUUGACCAGAAGUUUGGACUACAUACUUAUAAAAUACAACGAACCCAAUCCUUACGUUGAGGGCAGCUGUUGGUUGUUGUGAAAAGGGAAAGAGACGCAUUGCUUAAGAAAUGGAAGAACUGAAGAAGUGAUGAAGCUGCUAGGAUUAGGAACAUGGCUUCUAGUCUCUUACGUUCCAAGAGUCAUUGGAUCUAGAAACCAGGGGUUAGGUAUAUGUGAAUCGAAAGAUAACCUUGUUACAAGAUCAAAGUCUCUUCCUUUAAAGUAUAACAUGCUUCAUAAGAAGAUUUUGGUGCUCAUUCGAGGAGCUUAAUUGCUCACUAAAUCCAGAGCUAUACUAAUGAUCAUAUAAUAUCCUCCACUAAAUGAGGGAUGUAACAGCUAUUCUUGUGUUUAAAAAUACUAGCAUCUUACUCGUGCAUUUAUAUUUUGUGAGUUUUUCCCUUACAUUUUUUUUAAUGACCUCUUAAAUAAAUAAAAUAAAAUAUAACGUUGAAAUUUAUUAUGAAUGUAGUUAUCAAUUUUAACCUCCCACUACCCACGUGUUGGGAGAUUGGCCUCGUUUUGUUAUAGUGUUGUGUUGGGAGCAAAAAUGUCAAUCUUAACUUUCCUGUAAACAAAUGGACUUAGGCCAAGCUCCCAACACUGUAACUUGUGUCAUUUUUGCUGGUUCCGUUAUGAUCCUAGACUGGUUUCUACAUGUAUAUAUAUGCCUCGCAUUCAACUUGGUUAUCUUGUGCUUCAAUCUGCUUGGUUUGGAAGGAUUAGAGGCCAAUUUGUCCUUUGUUUGCUAUUUUUUUUGUUCCGAUGAAUCCUGCCUUUGCUAUUGUUGACUCAACUUUUCAUAUUUAGUGGGUAUACAGAGAUAAAAUAUCGGUUUGCGCACCAAAUUUCGCUAUAUUCGAAGAUCGUGUUUCUCUAAACCAAAAAAAAAAAAACCUUGUCAAACAAGUCAUACUAGACCAUUAUCUUCCUAAAGUUGACAAGAAAUUUUGACUACAUAUCUAUAAAAUACAGCAGAUGUUGAAGAGGGAAAGAGACACGCAUCGGUUACAGAAAUGGAAGAAGGGAUGAAGAAGCUAGGAACAUGGCCUAGUCCCUUUCGUUACAAGAGUCAUGGGAUCUAAAACUAGGUGUUAAGUAAUGAAUAUGUGAAAGAGAACUUUGUUAACAAAAUCACUCUUCCUUUUAAGUAUAACCUGCUUCAUAAGAAGAUUCUGAUGCACAUUAGAGGAGCUUAAUUUCCCUUAAAUCCAGAGACUUUGAAAUGAUCAUAUAGUUCUUCUAGUAUGCUCCACCAAAUGAAGGAUGUAACAGCUAUAUAUCCUUGUGUUUAAACAUAUAGAUUUGAGCUACUAUCUUUAUUCAAAACCAGUUCCAUGUAUACAACAGAACCAAUUGUAAGAGGUUUCUGAAAAUUAAAGGCAAAGAAUAAAUUCAAAGCCAAAAGCUGGGAAAGUUACUUGGCAGGUAGUGUAAGUGUAUGCUAUAGUUACAAAGGCUCAGAUUGUACCUUGAGACAUAAUUUGCUAAAAGAGGAGGGAAGUUUGUACAGGACAUCUUCGCAUCUCAGAUGUAAAGCCUUUGCACAUGAAUAUGCAUGAAGCAAUGAACUGUUUCUAAAAAAACUUCCUUAAUUUGAAUCAUAGAACAUCAAAGAAUGACAAAAGACUGGCACAGAAACAGGAGAUUGUACGUGGGAUCGUCAAACAGACAAUAUUAAACCAAGAUAAACCUUAGAACUCCUACUCCUGGUUGAACAAGAAUUAAGUCACUAGUCCCCCAAGAGGAACAUAGAUUCUGGUGAAUACAUUGAGGUGUGCCAUAGAAUACCUCUGCUUUUGGGAUGACCCUUAUGAAGGCAAGGUAAAAUUAUGUCAUGUUGUAAUUUGACUAAUUUCUGUAAUAAUCUUAUUCUGUGUUUUAUCAUAAUAGGAUCUGAAAGUUUACUCUUUGAUGGAUGUACAGGGGGGAACACAAUGGAGGUUGUACAGGUACAGUUUCUUGCAUUGAUGGCUUCUUGCAUCACAUAAUUUCUUACCAAAACAUUCCUAGUUAAAAUGGAGUGGAGGCUUGGAAUCAACUCCAUGUAAGAACUUACAUCAAUCAGUGGACAUGCAAAAAACACUAAUAUGCAUUACAAAGAACUUCUCUUAUUCAGUCACAACUGUAAUCGAUUGAUUGAAACUAUUAACUGAUAUCAUUCCUUGCUUCUUGCUUAUUGGUUAUGUUACAACCUUUAUUCUUAUAUGCUAAAUGUGCUGUGUUGUUUGAAAUUAAGACUAGGAUAUCAACUAGUUGCUGGCUUGAUAAACUUCUCCCUCAGCUGUUUGAAAUAGGCUACCAGCCGAGUUUUGUCAGGGUGAUUUUCUUUGAUCACAGGAACUUCCUUGAAAUUUCUAAUCCAUGCGUGCAAGCGAGGGAAGUUAUCGGCUUCCAGAACUUGUACACCAGCUGCUUCUUCCAUGGCCUCAAGCCAGAAUGCUAGCAAUCCCAUGGAUAAGUCUGUCAUUUCAAUCUUGUCACCAUUAAAGAACUUCUUCUCAUCAUCAAGGCCGUGCUCUUCUAAGAUCUUCAGACACUCCUGGGCUUCUUUCACAGCUUUUGUUUGCUCUUCUCCAGCUCUUUUAUAGAAUCCGUAAAUGUUCGGCAUCUAAAUUGCACAAAAUAGCAGAUCAGUUAAGGGUCAACAUUCUACUUGUGUUGAACUGUUGAUAGAAAAUCUCAAGAAAGAAAAUACAGGUAUGAUUACCUUGUCAUCUCCAAACUUUGUCCAGAAUCUAGCGAUGGCCCUUGCAUGAGGGUCUGUUGGAAGCAGAGGAUUCUGCAGCCAUGUCUCUUCAAUGUACUCCAGAAUGACAGUCGACUCAGCAAUCAGCUUUCCACCAUGAACAACUACUGGAACCUUCUUGUGCACUGGGUUGUAUUGAAGAAGCAAAUCACUCUUGUUGAAUAUGUCCUCUUCUUGAUAUUCAUAUUCAACUCCCUUGAGUUUCAGAGCCCAUGUGACCCUGUAAACAUAUGGACUUGCCCAGAAUCCUAUUACCUUCACUUCCUCCAUAUUACUCUAGUUUCUGCUCAUCUUAGUCUCUACCACAUAUUAUAUAGUAUUAUAGUUGAAGCCUUAAUAUCUAUGUAAUUCUAUUCUCCACGCCAUCGUUAUUCAGCAGAUAAGAUUAGGUGAGGAAAAUAUUGUUAUAUAUCGUCUUGUCUGACCCAUUAAUUCUAAUAAAAUUGAUACUUGAAACUUGACUCACAUAUUUUAUGAAGUGCUUCAGAGAUCAACAUAAAGAGAUUUCUUUACUCGUAUGACUAAUCAAGUUUAAACAAUAGUUCAGACAAUCCGACUUGUUUAAGUUUAGAGUAAAAUAUUGUAUAGUCUUUCUGGUUGAAGUCAACAUCUAUUUAGUCCUUAUAGUUUUAUUUUAAUCUGAAUAGUCCUUAAAAUCACAAUUUUUCAUCUAAAUAGUCUUUAUGGUUUUAUUUUACUCUGAAUAGUCCUUAAAGUCAUGAUUUUUCCUCCAAAUAGUCAUUUUAGGUAGCCUAACUGACAACGUUGAGGUCAUGGGUUCAAACCUCGCUGACAUAUGUAAGGGUGUGUGAGUUAUUUAAUAAAAAGUUUUAUUUAAUAAAAAAAAAAGGAAACUAUUCAGAUUAAAAUAAAACCACAAGGACUAAACAGAUGUCAACUUCAAACCACAAGGCCUAAACAAAUUUUAAUUCUUAAAUUUAUCUCUCUCCUUGAAGGAAUGGCCAAUGUUCUUGAAAAUUGGAUGUAAAUUGAGUUGUUGAUUCUGUUUCAUACAUACAACCAUAUAUCUAUGCCAUAUGUUCAUCAAAAUAAGUGUUUUAUUCAAGCCAGUUCUUAGAGUUAUAGUUGGAUAAGAAAUUACAAAUACAAGCGUAGAUUAGCUAAUAGCUAAUAUUAUUGUUCGAACAGUAGAAAGCUUGAUCAGAAGAAGGAGGUUUUAGCUAGCUAGUAGUUUUUUUUUUUUUUUUUUUCGUUUGAAUGAUCGAGGAUAGACGAAUAAAUUGCCUAUCACUCUAUUUUAUUAAUAAAGGAAAAAAGAAACAAAGGAGGAGAAUGAAAACCAAAACCUCCCAAAACAAAUUACAGACUAGCUGAAACGAAAUUGAAGCAUACCUCUAACAUCAUUAUUAUAAGACAAUAAUAUGAAAGGUGGAGGCUCAUCCCGCCAUAUCAAUUCAGAACAUGACGUAUCUUGAUUUGCCAGAGCAUCAGCUAUUUUAUUUCUUUCAUGAAAAAUAUGAGUAGCCUUGAAAUUCAUCUGAGAGAUUCGGUAUAAGCAAUUCAACCAUCGAAUUCGAAGAGGCCAAGGAACAAGAGAAAGUCUGCGAAUAUAAUCAAGUACCAAAGAUGAGUCAACUUCCAACCAAAUAUGUUUCCAAUCAUGAACCUAAACAAGCUCAAUAGCUUUAAUAACAGUCAUUAUCUCUGCUGAAAUUGAACUAGGAAUUUCAAGAUUUGAGGCAAAAGCACUAAGAAAGUGGCCCUUGUAAUCCCUAAAAAUAAUACCAUAACCACCCACUCCCUUCUCAUGCUUCCAAGAGCCAUCAGAAUUUAUCUUCACCCAACCAAAAGAAGGAGGAAGCCAAUUAACUUCAACAACUCUAGGAGUGGCACAAGGACGACAUGGGGCUCCAAAACAUUUCAAAAUUCGUAGCUCCUCGACACUAUUAUGCAUAUGACCUGUUGUAAGAUCACUAGUGGCUCUUAUAUGACCUGAUAUUAGCCUACAAACAGCUUCAAUUGAAAAGCGACAACCAUCAAAUCUGGUUUUAUUUCUUACAUGCCAAACAAACCACAAAAUGGAGGUAAAGCAAAUAAGCCAUAGUUCCAUUAAUUGAGGACUUCUUCCAUUUUGCAAACCCAACCUAUAAAGCUCCAAAAUAGAAGAAGGAAUCAUACCCAACUCAAAAAGGGAGCCAAAGUGACUCCAAAUUGAUGCAGUGAACGAGCAACAGAGGAAAGUAUGAUUCAUACCCAAAAUAGAAGAAGGAAUCAUACCCAACUCAAAAAGGGAGCCAAAGUGACUCCAAAUUGAUGCAGUGAACAAGCAAGAGAGGAAAGUAUGAUCCAAAGUCUCAAAGCAAGCACCAUAAAGCUCACAUCUAGAAACCCAAGCUAUACCUCGACGCUGAAGUAAAUCAUCACAAAUAACUCUACCUCUUAACACCUUCCAUGCCAGGAAAGACAUUCUUGGCAGAAUAUAUUAGCUCAUAAUCUCUUACCCCAAAUUACUGGAUUAGAAGAAGGCUGCAUAAAAGUAUAGGCUUGUUUAGCGGUUAACUCACUGAAGGCUAAAGAGGUCCAUAUAAGUUUGUCAUUAACUUAAGGAUCUUCUAACACAGGGACUUGAUUGAUCAUAUCACAUAAGGCUGGGUAGUGCAACUGUAGUAAUGGAGGAAGAUUUCAUGAGCCAUUGUCUAUAUAUUUCGACACCAAAUCUGAGUUAUCCUGCAUCAACACAUUAGAACCAAAGAACUCAUUAAUUGGCCUGCCCAUAAACUUGUCGUGCCAAAAGUAGAUUCCAUUCCCAUAACCAAUUAACCAUUGUGAAUUAUCUUGAACCGUCUUCCAGAAUUGAUGAACACUAGGCCAUAUAGAAAAAGGAGCAUAAGAUUUCUGUCUAGAGAAACGACUGCGAAUAAAAGCACAACCCUCAGAUUGAGCUGUAUAUAUUUCCCAGCAACGUUUCAAUAAGAGAGAUCGAUUAAGCAGAACUAAUUGUUUGAGCCCUAAGCCACCUUCUUCAAUUGGGGAACAACAAGUCUUCCAAGCCACAAGAGGGAUCCCUCUUUUAUCAAUUGAGCCAGACCACAGAAAGUUUCGGCACCAAACCUCAAUUUUCCAUACCACAGACACAGGCCAUUCAUAUACUUGAAAAGUGUAUACCAACAUGCUAAAAAUAACAGACUUGAUAAGCUGCAAAUGUCCUGCCAUUGACAAAAAAGAACUCACCCAACUUGAUAACUUUAUCCUUAUUUUGUCAACAAUUUGAUUGAAAUAAGAAGCACGAGGAUUGCCAUGAAAAAUAGGGGCACCCAUAUACAUGAACGGAGCAGACCCCAAGGGAAUACCCAAGAAGUUUGAAAUAGAAUGCCGCCUUGAAUGUAUACUUUUUCCGAAAAAAACUUGAGACUUUUCUUUGUUGAUAACUUGACCUGAAACACUACCAUAUUCAUUGAAGAAUCUCAUAAUCCGCGAUAAAUUCUGCUUAUUACCCCGACAAAAAACAAUAACAUCAUCUGCAAAUAGAACAUAAGAUGGAGCAAGAGUAUUUCGCGGAGAAGAGAUACGCUGCAGUUGACCCGAUGAAACAAGUAAAAAGAUCCCACGACUAAGGACCUCUUCUGCUAAGCAAAAGAGCAAGGGAGAAAGGGGGUCACCUUUGACGCACACCCCUUUCACAAGAAAAAUACCCAAUAGUCCUCUCAUUGAUCAACAGAGAAAGUUUGGCUGACAGAAGCAAGGCACGCACCCAUUGUACAAAGAUCAGAUCAAACCCAAAAGCAUGAAGAACAUGAAGAAGAAAAUCCCAUGACAGAGUAUCAAACGCCUUUGUAAUAUCAACCUUAAUUGCAAGGUUACCUCCAUGACAUAUUGAGUUCAACAAAUUAAAGCACUCUGAUGUAGUUAAUAUAAAGUCUGAUAUGUUCCUCCCUGCAACAAAAGCAUGUUGUUGAGGAGAAAUAAUACGUGAUGCCACAGAUGCCAACCGGAUAGCUAUGAUCUUUGGGAUAAUUUUAAACACAAAGUUGGUGAGGACAAUAUGGCGAAACUGCUUUAUAGAGUCGGCAUGAUCAACUUUGAGGAUUAACAUGAUAAUACCUGAGUUAAAGGAAGGAGCCAAAUAACCAUGUUGAAAAAAAUACUGAACACCCUUAACAACAUCAGCACCAACAACCUCCCAGCAAGAGACGAAAAAAUGGCCAUUAAAUCCAUCCGGCCCCAGGGCACUAUCAGGAUCCAUUGAUUUGACAGCUGCCCAAAUUUCCUCUUGUAAUGGAACAAUUGUAAGCGUUGUAUUUUCCUCAUGAGUUACCAUAGAAUGAAUCACCUUGGACACCAAACCACUAUCUUCAUACUCUGCAUGUUUUGUAAAAAGAUUUUUAUAAUAAUCAAUUAUAUGAUUUUGGAUAGAAUGUGGAUCCUAAAGCACCUGAUCUCCAUCACGAAGCAGAGUAAUAGAAGAACGAUUUCAACGCACUUUACACAUAGCAUGAAAAUAAUUAAGAAGAAUUGCGAUCACCUUCUGACAACCAUUGCAACCUUGACUUCUCACGCCAAAGACUUUCCUGACGCCGAAUAGACUCAUUCAAAUUAGCCUGCAAUUCAGUCUCUUUUUCAAACUCUUCAUCUGAUCCCCCAGAAGCUGCAAUUUUAUUUUGAAUAUCAGCAAGGGCUGCAAGGUCAAACUCAACCCGACGAUGAACAUCCCCAAAGACCUCCCAGUAUUUUGCCGUGUUAAGAGUAUAUAUAGGCCCAGUUCACGUCUGAGACGGUCCAGUCCAUAUUCUUGUGCUUGGAGAACAAGUCGGUUUUGCACAGCUUGCAGAUAUAUACUCCACCGUUUCCAGUACCAAGUACUAACAAGUUAAUUGAUUUCUCUUCUUGUGUAAUAACCAGAAAAUAUCAAGUACUACUUUCUUUCUCUUCUUUUCUUUGUUUUAGAGAUUAGUUUAGCUUUCUUGUUCUUCAAUUAUCAAAUCAUGCCCAUGGUAGAUUUUCAGCAUGGUAUCAGAGCCAUGGCGGCCUGACCUGUUUUCGAUGUCCUUUCCUUCCUCUGCAAUCCUCUUCUACUUGUUACUUCUGCAUAUCAGAAACCCCCAAUUUUUCUUGAUCAAAACCGUAGCAACAUACCAGUUCUUAGAAUCAAGGUGUAUAAUUACCACUUCAGCAACAUUUAAGAACUUUAAAAUCGAGGAAACUUAUGAAGAAAUUAAGAAAUCGAGGUCUAAUUUCUUCUAAUUUUUCGCCGUAUGUAAUGCUGAAUUUAAUUACUUCUUAUAGUAAGUUAUACGAUAUACUAAGGGUUAUAUAAUUUACCAUAGAAGCAGGCCCGAACCUGAGAUUUUCAGGCAUGAGUCGAACUUUCAAAAUUAGGCCCUCAAAGUAUAGUAUUUAUACAAUUUUAUUUUCUCAUUUUAAGAAACACACAAAAAAUUCACGAACUAAAGUUAUAUAUAAACCAAAAUCUAACAACAAAAAACAUCUUAUUAAAAAUCUUAUUUAUGCAACAAAUCUCUUACUUAGGCUGCUAAUUUUUCUAAAAUAGUAAUUAAUGAUUGUAAUAAUGGGUAAGAUUUUAUAUUCAUUUUUCUCUUUUGUAAUCUUUUUGUUUUUUUUAAAGAAGGGUCGGUGCGGCUCUCUUUUGUAAUCUAACACCACCAUAAUUGGAUUUAUUAAUUAUUUUUUAUUGUUUUUAACUAAACUAAUGUAAUCACACAAAGAGAAAAGAAAAUUUUGGGCUCCUUAAGGUUAUGGCCCUGAGUCCAUCAACUCUUAAGACUCUAUUCAGGUACCGGUCUACAUAGAAGGGCUUGUUUUCUGUUGCAAAGAUCUAUAGUCUAUGCUGAAUUAAGUGUAACGCCUGGGAAUAGAGGCCAGGGAGACCAUUGGCACGUGGGACGCCACUGGCUUCUGAUGCAUCUUGCUUUGAAUUCAUAUGCAUGGGAGUCAAUCACCAUUUACCAAUUGGUCAAGGAGCCCUUGAAUCCCUGAGCACUCACAUGCCCAUGCCCUUGUUCUUGUACCUACAUAGUACUCUCACCUCACCUCUUGAUCAUAGUGACGAUUAUACUUGAGCUCCAAACCCAACGUACUUGCACUUCAAUUUUUUACCCCCUUUCUUCUAUUUUUUGUUCUGUUGCGUAUAUAUAUAUAUAGCCAUAUAGGUCUAAUUUCUUCUAAGUUUCCUCGAUUUGCAUUAGUUUCUUUAAUAGAUUUCAGAUUUCUGUAUAUACGUAUCAUUUAUGAAGUAAUUAAGUUCAGCAUUACAACAGAUAUAGAAUAGAGUGUUGUGUAGAAGAUCGGAGUUUGGAAUAUCAAUGGCUUCUAGUUCAGGUUUGUUGAAUUUCCUUAAGAACUUUAGUUAGUCUAUUUCCUUAGUUGUGUUUGUUUUGUUUGAUUCUAUAGUAUCUAUUUGUCUUGUGUGUUGAGUUCCUUGUGAUCAAUGGAUUGAGGCUAAGACAUAUGACCAAUCAAGUUUAAUUGUUUAAACAACAUUUGCAGACGAUCCGACUUGUUCUCUCUCUCUCAUAGAAUGGUCAAUGUUCUUGAAAAUGUGAUGUAAAUUGAUUCAGUUUCAUACAUACAAACAUAUAUUUAUGCCAUAAGUCCAUUGAUCUAAAAAAGUGUUUUAUUCAAGCAAGUUCUUAGAGUUAUAGUUGGAUAGGAAGAUUACAGAUACAAGCGUAUAUCAGCUUAAUAGCUAAUAUUAUUGUUUGAAAAGUAGAAAGCUCGAUCAACAGAAGGAGGGUUUUAGCUAGCUAGAGUUUAAGAUUUUGCCGAAGCAAGAAAUAUUGCUCUUCGACCUUUGAAAUAGGUCAACAUUGCACUGCGAUCAGGAAGGGGCUCUUUGAUUGUGGGGAUGUCCUUGAACCGUUGAAUCCAGGCAUGCAAGCGAGGGAAGGUUUCGGCUUCAAUCCCCUUAACCCCAGCUAGUUCACUCAUGACAUCCAUCCACCAAGCUAGCCACCCGAAUUCCAAAUCAGCCAUUCCAAUCUCAUCUCCUCCGAAAAACUUCUUGUCUCCGAG